GCGCUCCCAAGGCAGCAAACAACAAGCGGGUCACACACACACACACAGAGAGAGAGAGAGAGAGAGAGAGAAGGAAGGAGCAAGGAUGGGUCAGAGCCCCCUUGUCCGGCUGCCGGUGGCGGAGCAGGUUCAGCCAGAGGUGGCGACCGGGGGCAGCAACAGGAAGGAACAAUCUGGCAAGCCUACAAAAGCUACAAAUAAAUACUACAAAAACUCAAGCAAAGAUGAUCUAGUUUUAAGGGCGACACUGGACUCAAUUACUAGAAUUGGAUAAAAUUGCAAUCCGGUGAUGAAAAGGAACAUGAAAUUACCGGCAAUUGCACAAAUAUCACCUUGUCCACUUAUUGUUUGUAAGAGAAUGCAGCUGUGCCGCUUGCCGUCUAUAAUUUUGUCAAGAAAAGGAAAAAAUGUUGCAUCUAUAGGCCUUGUACUUUCAAGCUUUUGGCUCACUAAUGAUUUAUGUACUACAGUUCAUGUAUUGUUCAAACAUGUGAGUUUGAAGUACUUUGAAUGUAUUAACUUAUUGUCCUUCAAAAAUCCAUGUCUCCCUCUAUCAAUUACUCCCAUAAUAUAAAAGCGUUUUUUA
This is a long non-coding RNA of Aegilops tauschii subsp. strangulata, 586 nucleotides long. RefSeq lists it as uncharacterized. Lineage: Eukaryota; Viridiplantae; Streptophyta; Magnoliopsida; Poales; Poaceae. The record is from RefSeq and is a predicted model, not a curated record.